This 4585-nucleotide long non-coding RNA is filed under the name Podarcis lilfordi (Lilford's wall lizard). Lineage: Eukaryota; Metazoa; Chordata; Lepidosauria; Squamata; Lacertidae. The record is from RNAcentral.
CAUGCUGCUAUAACAAUUCACCCUUGCACCCAUCUCUGUACCAAUAGCUUUAGUAUGAGGGGGUGGGAGAAACUUUAAUGCAGCCCUAUGCAUGUUUACUUGGAAGUAACUGAGCAAUCCUAAUUCCCAGUCUGCAUAAGUGGAGGGGUUUAGGGUGUAGCUUCCAUCUGCUGUGAUCAGUGAACCUGAGGUAUGUCUGUGGGAAUGUCAAGGAGCCUAGAUUAUUCAAAAACAGAAAUACCUUUUUUCUCUUUCUCAAAGAAGAAAUGAGAGAGGUAUAUAUUUGGGCAACAUUAACAAGAUACUAACCUGCAUGUGAAAAACACCUGUAGAGUGGAAUGCUAGCCAGGGUGCCAAGAUGCAAGCUAAGACAAAGGCAGAAGUUGCAGAAUGCAUGAAAAUAUGCUGGUGCAGACAUACAUCACACUUAAUCAGUUUAGCAUAAUGAGAAUGAGCUGCAGCAAACCUCAGGCUCAUAUUCUUCCUUUCUCCUCCAGAGCAGCUGCUAGGAGGAGUUUGGAAGCUUUCACUUCAGCUUAUAAUUAAUCACAGUUUGGUGCAUCAUCUGAACCGGGCCAAUUGUGGUUAAUUUAAACUGUGGCUCUUUUGAAACAGCCAACUUCAAACCAUAGUUAACACUAACCAUAGUUUAGGGUGCAAAUGACACACUGAACUGUUGCUCAUUGAAAUCAGAAGCAAAGGCUCCCAAGCUCCUCACAGCUACACUGGAGGCACACACACCCUGUGCGAAUUUCUGAAGACUGAUUUAUACUAUUAGCUUGUGCGUCGGGACUUCACUUUUUUCUGUGCAAUAUGCUGCAGCUUAUCUCAUCAUUGCUUGUUUAUAUAAAGCUGCUGAUGUUGAUUGCAACAGUUAGUACUCAAGAGUUUCUUCCUGCAAACCUUAUCAGUAGUUCCUCAAUGAGAAGAUAAGUAAGGACAAACUUCCCCUGAAAAGCAGCUUGGUCACCAGUACUGAUCUUCCCCUGCAAUCCAUGGCUGUAGGGGAGCUUGGAAUGUGUCCUGGGGUGCAUUUUCAAUAGAUGGGCUGUGAGGACCAAGAAGAUCCAUGUGGUCGGAAUAUUCAUCUUUAAACAUGUCCCCAGAAUCCCCUGCAACAAGCGUAAAAUUCCUCAGUAGACAAGUAAUUGCAAAGGGUUCAUUGAAGAAAGUUUGAAAAUUGUUGAGCUAGCAGAUAUGGGAAAGCAGAAAAUGUACUCCCCCAGAGUCCAGGACAGUCUGGCCAUGAUUCAACCCAAGAUAAAAAUUCGUUAUCAUUAUCUUCCCUUCCCCCAAAUAGUUCAGGGCAACACAUGUGAGUCCCUCCUCCUUUUAUCUUCUCAGCAAGCUUCUGAGGUAGGUUGGGCUGAGAGUGAGUGACAGGCCCAAGGUCACCCAGAAAGCUUCCUGGCAACAGGAAUUUGAACCUUUGAGGUCUAAUUAAACUUUUGGCUGAAUAAUUUACUGCUUGUACCCCACCCAUCUGACUGGAUUGCCCCAGCCACUCUGGGCAGCUUCCAACAGAAUAUAAAAAACACAAGAAGACAUUAAAAACUUCCCAAUUCAGGGCUGUCUUCAGAUGUCUACAGAAAGCCAUACAAUUGUUGAAUUCAUAUAAUUUUGCAGCUGUCUACGGCCACUGAACAUCCAAACUGCAAUCAUUCUGGUUAUUUUCCCUGCGGUUACUCUCCUGCAGCUCCUGUAAAAUGCAAAGUUUCCAGUUCAUCUGUAGUCUUUUCAGACCGAUCCAUUAGCACAAGAAUCCCACUAGAACUGAACAGACAUUUUGUACUGCUUAGUAGUCUCAAGUUAACAUCAGUAACUUAAAACCCUGGAUUGACAUUAUGAAGGAAUCUCCAUCUUGCAGGAAACACUUAACAUGAUGUGGAAUCAGGCCUUUGAUUUGAAGUUUAAUUGUUAUGAAUAGAAAUUUGCUGUUUUUAUACUUGAGUCUAUUACAAAAUGUGACUGUUUGAUUUAUAAAGGCCACACUGUUGUUUCUAUAUCACUUUCAGAAAAUAAAUAAUUUUGCAAACAUAACGGCCAACCCACUUUCAUAAAAGAAAUCCACUUGCACAAUGGAUACUUUUCUUAUGGAUUCUCUUCUCCUCCUUCUAGCCCCUUAUUUGUCCCAAAAAUUCUGCUCUGGAGGUCCGCUACCUCUCCAGAGCAGAUUUUAGGGGACAUGCAAGGGGGAGUGAUGAGAAGCAGCAGCUCACUUCCACUCUGUUGGAUUUCACCUCAAGUGAUUAAGUGAUGACUUUUGUAUGUUAAGCAGCCAUUGCAGAUGAAGCCCAGCCGAAACGGUUUUCAUAUUGCUUUAUGCCACCUCAGACAAAAUGCCUCACAUGUUCCGCUGCAGACAUGACGUGAUAUAUGUAUAUUAUGUGUGGACUCGGCAUAUUACACACUCGUGGUUUUUAUUUUUUCUAAAUCUACUGCAGAACACUUCCCAAACUAUUUGAUACUUGAAACUCAAGUUUGCAUUCUUUCUCCAACAAAUGCUGGUCUAGCAAGGCCUCUCUUCUCUACUUUUUGACUGCUUUUGGCAUACAUGACAGCUUGGCUUAGCAUGAUGUGCAUGAGCUGGAACAAACCCAAAUGAGCAGCAGGCUCACACACACUCCCCCUCCUAUGCAUGUUAGCAGCUUAAAACGCAGCAAGGUCCUUUUCCCACACUCCUUUUCAAGUCACUUUUCUUUUGUUUUUUUUACACCACUAUACACCUCAGAGAUGGAGCAGGGAUGUCUCCACCCAAUGCUCAUUAUCUGAUUUGUUCCCCUGCAUCAAACUAUUCAGUUAAGUUGUCAUCUACACAUGUGCAACAGUUAUCUCCAAUGUACAUAUCUCAGCUUAAGCACAGUUUAUACUUUCAAAUUAGAUGGAAGCUGAUUUGAGAGGAAGUGCAUUAAAUAGCAUUAUUUCUCAAGAUACAUACUGCGGAUAACAUCAUAUGUAUUCGGCUUCAAACACCAGUGGUGUGAGCAUACUGGAGCAGGAGUAAACAUUAAUAAGUACACAGUCCCAGUUGAUUGUUGGAUGCAGACCAAAAUCUGAAUUGUAACAAAUGGGUCAAUUUCAAAAGCAGUCAAUUUCAAACCAUGCGUGAUCUGGCUUGUUAAAUUAAAAUAAAUUUAAUUAACCAGUGUUUGUUAUAAACCACAAUCCCGGAUUCGCAUCCAACAGCAAGCCAAAAAAUGAAAAGUAAACACUGCUGAAGUCGUCCUUCCCGUUGUGCAGGAAGAAAGGGAACAAGAGGUGCUUGUUUUCUAACAUGCAUAUUGUACUAAGCCAUGGUUUAGCAUGACAUGCAAACCAGGUCAGAGUUUCCCAUGUUUUCUGAUAUCCAUGGUUCAUCUCCCAGUUGCAAAAGCAGUUUAUUAAGCAGCACUUGGGAGGAAGGCAAUAGUAGUAACUCAUAAAAAUGUAAGGAUUGCUACACCUGCAGUACUCAGUGCACAGCCCUUUUUCACAGGCAGUCAGCUGUUUCACACAUGUCUAUACAUCAGGUGUGGGGAGGCUUUGGCCUGCCUGAUAUUGCAGAAUUAUAACUUCCAUCAUCCCAAUGCUUGCUGGGACUCAUGGGAGUUGUAGUUCAGCAACAUCUGGAGUGUCAAAGGUUCUACACACCCACUAUAUAUUACUUGUCUGGUAUGAUGACUCUCCAGCUGAAUGUUUGAACUGUCCUCAUGGAAAGUAUUGUUUUAUAUGAAAUCUGUGAUAGUUCAUUCACACGUGUGAAUCAUCUCUUAAUGACAAAUGAGUGAUGAAAUUAUGUUUGAACUGGCCACACAGGUCCCAUUAAAAGAGUGUUUGUUUUUUAAGGAUGUAGUAUAAUUUGCACCUUCAGAAAGAUAUGCCCUUUGUUUAUAACAUGUAUUGAAAAACAAAUAUUUCCCAUUUCUGCUAGAUUUUGCAAACAGAGGCCUAUGAGUAAAUAGAUACUUCUGAAGAAAGCUGGAGAGGGAGAAAAGAAAAUGUGAUUCAAUUGUUAAUUUUGCUACAAGGUCAUGCACUAUGUGCAUGAAGAACAAUAACAAGGAGAGAUCUUUGUAUGUAAUAACUGUAACUAACCUCAAUCUGUAAAUAGAUUUGAAGGCUCUACAGUUUUGAUACUUUUUUAAGAAAAAACAAUAAAAACCUUGUAUAAAUCCCAUGUGUAAAAAGGCUGGAAUUCCCCACCCCCAAAUCAUUGUAAAUUACUAUGAUGUGACAUUUUCCUGCUUUCCAACUUGACAGAUUUGUAACUAAAUCAAGUCAAUAACCAAAUUUUCUUUUAAAAAAAGAAAAAUGAUUUGUUUUCCAUGUGUUAAUUGGGAGCGUUAUAAUCUUGUUUAACAUUGUAACCAUUUCUGACCUCUGUCUUUGUCAUAUGGAAGUUCCAUUAGGAUGCGUUCUUGCUUGGUGCCUUUUGUGUUUCUGUUUUUCUGAACAAAAGGUCUAGGGAUUUGGGAUGUGGGAGGGCUCUGCUAUUUAUAACAUUUGCUGUACUUACAUCAGUAGGGGGUACUGAAAACCAAAUGAAUACAUUUGUAAGACAGUGCACUGUUUCUAUAGAGAUUAAAUUUUUUUAUUGGCAGAUUGU